UUAGGCGCUGGCCUGAUGGGCAGUCAGCUAGGUGCGAGAAAGUUGGACAAGGAGAAAGAGUGAGCCAAGGGAGUCAUUAACUGCAUCAAGGUGCUAUGAAAGCCAGGCCCGAAAGACCACGACUCAGUCUCCUCGUUCUAAUCGUGUUCCCCACCAAGACCCACAACCCCCAACCCACACUCCCGUCACCCUAAUGUGAUGAUCCUUUCUGUAAGGUGACAGAAGGGAGUUUGCAGACAUGGUUCAGUGAAAAUUGAGGAGAUUGCCUUGAAACUGGCCUGCUGGGACAAGAGCAUCAGAGUCCAAAAAAAAAGCUUACGAGAGAAGCAGGGGAGACAGCUUUGAAGCUACUGCCCAGUCAGCCUUUAAAAAGGAACAAAGGAGCACAGGCAGCCUACAGAAGCCGGAAAGGGCAAACGACUGGGUUCUUGAAUCUAGGGCUUGACCUCUAGAACUGUAACGAGAAUUGGGAUGGUGUCCAUGCGGUUUGUACUGACUUGUCACAACAGCCAUAAGAAACCAGUAGUGUGGAGAAUAAAGAGGACAGCUCCCUGGUGCGUUCUCCUUUGUCCAGGAAGAGAGGGGACAGUUUAUCAGGCUACCUCACAGACUGAGCACUGUGACUACAGUCCAAUGGAGUGGCCGUCCACAUUUAGAGGAAAAUGUCAAAUGGCCAAACUGCACGGGUCUGUGACUGAUGAGAGAAGCAGAGAUGUGAAGGGCAUCAAAGAGAAAGAAUAUAACUUCCACUUUUAUGUUAGACCCAGCAGCUGGUAACAGCAACCAUUAGCAAAUCCAACGAGUUUCACCCAACACUUGAGAAUUAAUAGAAGAUGUGCCACCUUCUGUCCAGAGAACUAUGCUUGUCGCUCAGUUGUUCUAGCAGUUCAGUUUGGAGGAGAGGUAGACACACGUGGGUAGAUAACUAGCUGCCAUAAAUGGGUUUUGGUUUUUGGGGGGUUUUGGGAGGGUUCUGUUGGUUUUGGUUUGUUUGUUAAGGCACAGGUAUACUAUGGCAAACUGUAUAAGGGCGAAAGAGUUAAUAGACCAAGAUUUAGAGCCAGGACAGGCAGUUACCUUCCUAAGAAAACCAAGUUCGAAUUGAUUUAAAUGCUCUUUCUCCAUACUAUUAAGACAAUGUCCAUGCACGGCAGCAUUUACUCUACUAGUGUCGCUUGCCUCAUGCCAGGCACACGGUUCCUAUGCCUGUGCUUAGGAAUCAGAAAGCUGCCUCACGAGAGCUUGCAUAAUUACUCAAGAUCACAAAAUUAGUAAGAGGAUUCCCGAUGCUACAACCCAGGAACUACCCAUUCAUACCGUGCAGUCCCGGUUCACUUGCAGGGGGGCUAGAAAACAUGGCUUACACAGCUCAGCACUGUCUGUGUUACAGGGCUGCUGUGCGUGAUCCCAUUCCGCUCCUUACUUGAACCUGAGAGCAAACUUUUAGAGUUGGAAGCUGCAAGUCUUUUAACCACUCGUGAUGAGCAGUGUGUCUCGCCUGUGAGUGAUGUAAGUUAGACAACUGAACUGCAUAACCAUGCUUCCUUCCCUCUUCGUGCCCCUGUCCCAAAGCCCCGAGGAAAUGUGUUCACUUGGCAUUUGUAACUGAGUGGAUUCGUAUGCAUGUCUCUGCGUUGGUCUGGUAGUCUCCCAUCAGCACCUCAACGAAAACAUCCAGGACAACCAUGUUUGGCCCAGCUCCUGUUCUAGAGGUUUCAGUGUGGUAAUGGCUGGCUCCGUUGUUUUAGACCUGUGAAGUGACAGAGUGCAUGGAGGAGCAAAACCGCUCACCUCAUGACCAGGAAGCCAAAAGAAAACAAAAAAGCAAGGAUCCCACAGUACCCUGCAAGGACUCACGUUUUAAUGACUUAAGGAGCACCCACUAGGCCUCACAUCUUCGAGGCUCAGCUACCUACUAAUGAUGCUCCGCAUUUUAAGAAGAAUGUUAUGGGGCCAGCCACAUGGCUCACAGGAUAAAAGCACUUGUUGCUGUUCAGCCCGAUGCGGACCCACCUGGUAUCCAGAACCAACCUCUUCAUGUCAUUCUUCGAUUAUGCGUGUACAUGGCACACAUGCUUGAGUAUACACACACACAAAAUAGUGUUUCAAAAGUUGUCCUCUGACCUCCAAACAUGAGCUGUGGCAAAAACACACACAGGCACGCGCACACACACACACACACACAUACACUUUCUUAAAUGUUUGUAACUUUAAUUUCCCAUAUUUAGAUUCUGGGUAAUAACUAGUUCCAAGUCCAGAUUAAAAGAAAAAAAUCAUUGUCUAGGCCAGAAAGCAUUCCAAGUAACAUCAAAGAGCCAAGUUGUGGCUCUUCUCUCUCUCUCUCUCUCCUCUCUCUCUCUCUCUCUCUCUCUCUCUCCUCUCUCUCCUCUCUCUCCUCUCUCUCUCUCCCUCUCUCUCUCCCUCUCUCUCUCUCUGUGUGUGUGUGUGUGUGUGUGUGUGUGUGUGUGUGUGUGUGUGUAAAAUAGAUACCGUGGGUUCUUUAGACACAUAUUCCUCAUGCCUUAGAAAAAAAGAAAGUCUGUUUCCUAUCUGCUGAUGACAUUUUGUUAAGAUGGAGUUUUAUAUGUGUAGUUGGCCUUGUUACUCACUUUGUCAGAGGGGCUGUAGUUCCAAAACUACAGCUACAUGCCCUAAGUUUAAUUGGCUUGAGUCCAGUAGCUAAUACCAGGUUAGCCUCUUCUAGUUUGUUUUGUUUGAGAGGCGGGGCCUCACUGUGUAGCCCUGGCCAUCCUUGCACUCCAAUAGACCUGCCUGCCUUCUGGGUGCUGAGAUGAAAGGAAUUGUCUGAGUCUCAUUUCUUUACCAAGGGAUAUACUUUGCAUGUGAUCCCGUAAAGUGUGUAAGCAAUCACUUUAUUAACCACUCACUUUGCUAAUAGUCAUACAUUCCAUCAGGGCCCUUUCAGAUCUUCUAGUAAGGAGCGAGCAGUGAAGCUGGAGCGACAGCUCAGUGGUUAAGAGUGUACACUGCUGGGCUGGAGCGAUGGCUCAGUGGUUAAGAGUGUACACUGCUGGGCUAGAGCGAUGGCUCAGUGGUUAAGAGUGUACACUGCUGGGGCUGGAGGGAUGGCUCAGUGGUUAAGAGCACUGACUGCUCUUCCAGAGGUCCUGAGUUCAAUUCCCAGCAACCACAUGGUGGCUCACAACCAUCUGUAAAGAGAUCCGAUGCCCUCUUCUGGUGUGUCUGAACACAGCUACAGUGUGCUUAUAUAUAACAAAUAAAUAUUUAAAAAAAAAAAAAAA
Molecule: non-coding RNA, 3263 nt
Organism: Rattus norvegicus (Norway rat)
Lineage: Eukaryota; Metazoa; Chordata; Mammalia; Rodentia; Muridae
Source: RefSeq, a predicted model, not a curated record